CGAAGGUACCUACGGGAGGCUGCAGUGGGGAAUAUUGCACAAUGGGCGAAAGCCUGAUGCAGCGACGCCGCGUGCGCGAUGAAGGUCUUCGGAUCGUAAAGCGCUUUUCUGGGGGAUGAGGAAGGACAGUACCCCAGGAAUAAGUCUCGGCUAACUACGUGCCAGCAGCCGCGGUAACACGUAGGACGCAAGCGUUAUCCGGAAUUACUGGGCGUAAAGGGCGUGUAGGCGGCACGGUAAGUCAACCGUGAAAGCUCCCGGCUAAACUGGGAGAGGUCGGAUGAGACUGCCGAGCUAGAGGGUCGUAGAGGGGUGUGGAAUUCCGGGUGUAGUGGUGAAAUGCGUAGAGAUCCGGAGGAACACCAGAGGCGAAGGCGGCACCCUGGACGACACCAGACGCUGAGACGCGACAGCACGGGGAGCGAACGGGAUUAGAAACCCCGGUAGUCCGUGCCGUAAACGAUGUGCACUAGAUGUUCGGUCCUCUACGGGGGAGUGAGCGUCGCAGCCAACGCGGUAAGUGCACCGCCUGGGGAGUACGGUCGCAAGGCUAAAACUCAAAGGAAUUGACGGGGGCCCGCACAAGCGGUGGAGCAU
RNAcentral lists this ribosomal RNA (597 nucleotides) under Escherichia coli. RNAcentral describes it as "bacterial SSU rRNA". It matches the Rfam family "Bacterial small subunit ribosomal RNA", at positions 330 to 940 of the family's 1533-position model. The record is from RNAcentral. Lineage: Bacteria; Pseudomonadati; Pseudomonadota; Gammaproteobacteria; Enterobacterales; Enterobacteriaceae.